Molecule: small nuclear RNA, 188 nt
Organism: Anolis carolinensis (green anole)
Lineage: Eukaryota; Metazoa; Chordata; Lepidosauria; Squamata; Anolidae
Product: U2 spliceosomal RNA
Exons: 1
Source: RefSeq, a predicted model, not a curated record
AUCGCUUCUCGGCCUUUUGGCUAAGAUCAAGUGUAGUACUAGUUUAAAGCUGAAAGACCAUGGGGUUGCUGAUUGACUGGGCGACAUCAUGAAACAUUUGUUGUUUGCUUUGUUUUUUUUGUUUGUUUUUUUAUUUUAAAAAACCCUCAUUGCCUCAUACAGACAAUACUUUAAACAAUGAAACAAAA